UAUACCGUGAAACUGCGAAUGGCUCAUUAAAUCAGUUAUCGUUUAUUUGAUAGUACCUUACUACUUGGAUAACCGUGGUAAUUCUAGAGCUAAUACAUGCUGAAAACCCCGACUUCGGAAGGGGUGUAUUUAUUAGAUAAAAAACCAAUGCCCUUCGGGGCUCCUUGGUGAUUCAUAAUAACUUCUCAGAUCGCAUGGCCUUGCGCCGGCGACGGUUCAUUCAAAUUUCUGCCCUAUCAACUUUCGAUGGUAAGGUAUUGGCUUACCAUGGUUUCAACGGGUAACGGGGAAUUAGGGUUCGAUUCCGGAGAGGGAGCCUGAGAAACGGCUACCACAUCCAAGGAAGGCAGCAGGCGCGCAAAUUACCCAAUCCCGACACGGGGAGGUAGUGACAAUAAAUACUGAUACAGGGCUCUUUUGGGUCUUGUAAUUGGAAUGAGUACAAUUUAAACCUCUUAACGAGGAACAAUUGGAGGGCAAGUCUGGUGCCAGCAGCCGCGGUAAUUCCAGCUCCAAUAGCGUAUAUUAAAGUUGUUGCAGUUAAAAAGCUCGUAGUUGAACCUUUGGCCUGGCUGGCAGGUCCGCCUCACCGCGUGCACUUGUCCGGCCGGGCCUUCUCUUCUGGAGAACCGCAUGCCCUUCACUGGGUGUGUUGGGGACCAGGACUUUUACUUUGAAAAAAUUAGAGUGUUCAAAGCAGGCCUUUGCUCGAAUACGUUAGCAUGGAAUAAUAGAAUAGGACGUGCGGUCCUAUUUUGUUGGUUUCUAGGACCGCCGUAAUGAUUAAUAGGGACAGUCGGGGGCAUCAGUAUUCAAUUGUCAGAGGUGAAAUUCUUGGAUUUAUUGAAGACUAACUACUGCGAAAGCAUUUGCCAAGGAUGUUUUCAUUAAUCAGUGAACGAAAGUUAGGGGAUCGAAGACGAUCAGAUACCGUCGUAGUCUUAACCAUAAACUAUGCCGACUAGGGAUCGGGCGGUGUUAUUAUUUUGACUCGCUCGGCACCUUACGAGAAAU
RNAcentral lists this ribosomal RNA (1014 nucleotides) under Murilentithecium rosae. Its description in RNAcentral is "SSU rRNA". It matches the Rfam family "Eukaryotic small subunit ribosomal RNA", at positions 75 to 1098 of the family's 1831-position model. The record is from RNAcentral. RNAcentral also lists the same sequence under 3 other names. Lineage: Eukaryota; Fungi; Ascomycota; Dothideomycetes; Pleosporales; Lentitheciaceae.